This 429-nucleotide ribosomal RNA is filed under the name Gemmatimonadota bacterium. Its description in RNAcentral is "Gemmatimonadetes bacterium partial 16S ribosomal RNA". It matches the Rfam family "Bacterial small subunit ribosomal RNA", at positions 355 to 776 of the family's 1533-position model. Lineage: Bacteria; Pseudomonadati; Gemmatimonadota. The record is from RNAcentral.
UAGGGAAUCUUCGGCAAUGGACGAAAGCCUGAUCGAGCAACGCCGCGUGAGUGAAGAAGGUUUUCGGAUUGUAAAACUCUGUUGUUAGAGAAGAACAAGGACGUUAGUAACUGAACGUCCCCUGACGGUAUCUAACCAGAAAGCCACGGCUAACUACGUGCCAGCAGCCGCGGUAAUACGUAGGUGGCAAGCGUUGUCCGGAUUUAUUGGGCGUAAAGCGAGCGCAGGCGGUUUCUUAAGUCUGAUGUGAAAGCCCCCGGCUCAACCGGGGAGGGUCAUUGGAAACUGGGAGACUUGAGUGCAGAAGAGGAGAGUGGAAUUCCAUGUGUAGCGGUGAAAUGCGUAGAUAUAUGGAGGAACACCAGUGGCGAAGGCGGCUCUCUGGUCUGUAACUGACGCUGAGGCUCGAAAGCGUGGGGAGCAAACAGG